GCUUUCCAACUACGUGGAAACUUGGAAUAGGUCUGCGGCUGCACAAAGCCGGGGCGCCGGGGUCCCUGCGCCUCCACCCCGUUCGUCACCGCCGGGGAGCCGAGCAACAGGGAACCGGGGGCCCCGCGCGCGGCGCUUGCACCGCGACACUCCUGCUCAGUGCUCUGGCGGCCGCAGCCCGCCCAGCGCUUCCGGGCUUCCGCGAGCCCCGCUGCGCGCGCCCGCCCGCCGGGGAGCGGCUCCCGUGGUGGCGGCGAUCCGGGUGCGGGCCCUGCGGCCUAGGGCAUGUGGGACCCGCGGGUAUCUAGGAUGGACCCAAGAACUUAUGCUGAGCUGUUGAAAGAAUCUGGCAACCAGGAUUUUAAGAAUGGAAGCUUCUCUUUGGCCAUCAGAAAGUACGAUGAAGCCAUCCAGAUUCUCCUGCAGUUAUACCAGUGGGGGGUUCCCCCGAGGGAUCUGGCUGUGCUGCUGUGCAACAAAUCCAAUGCAUUUUACAGUCUUAGGAAAUGGAAUGAGGCGUUUGGCGCUGCCAAGGAAUGUCUCAGUUGGGAUCCAACCUACAUGAAGGGAUACUACCGAGCUGGUUAUUCCUUGCUGCGUUUGCUCCAGCCUUAUGAAGCUGCUCGCAUGUUUUUUGAGGGCCUGCGACUUCUGCAAUGUAACCGAGACCACUCACAGGUUGCUGAUUUUCUUGUUGGAGUCUUCACUGCUAUGGACAGUGACCCCAUUGUUUUGCAAAGUUGCUUGCCCUGCUUUGAUCGUAUUUUCACUACUGGAUUCUCAACAGAAGUGUGGCAAUCUGUAAUAGAAAAGUUGGCAAAGAAAGGAUUAUGGCCUUCAUUUCUACUUCUGUCAGUGAGAAAAGACCGACUACCAAGAAAUAUCCAUGUCCCAGAGUUAUCACUGAAAAGUCUCUUUGAGAAAUAUGUCUUCAUUGGACUUUAUGAGAAAAUGGAACAGAUGCCCAAGUUAGUCCAGUGGCUCAUCUCCAUUGGUGCAAAUAUUGAGAGUAUCGGACCAUACCCUCUUCAUGCCCUCAUGCGACUCUGUAUCCGAGCACAGGAAAACCAUCUUUUCAGGUGGUUAAUGGAAUACAAGCCUGAGUGGAAAGGCCGCAUCAACCAGAAGGACGAGGAUGGCUGCACGGUGCUUCAUGUCGUCGCCGCCCACUCCUCGGGAUACCUCCUCAAGCGACAAGUGGAGGAUGUGCAGAUGCUCCUGCGCUUUGGGGCAGACCCCACCCUGCUGGAUCGGCAGUCCCGGUCAGCUGUGGAUGUCCUGAAGAGGAAUAAGAACUUCAAAGCCAUCGAGAAAAUCAACAGUCACUUGGAAAAGCUGGUUACGUGUUCCAAGGACCCAUCAGGACUGAGCAAUGGUGAUGGACCCACCAGUGAGAGCGACAUUUUUCAGAAGGCCUCUGAGCAACUGGUGAAGUACAUGAACUCAGGAAACCAGUCACUGCAUAAAAACUUUAUGAAGCAAGAAAUAGUUCAGAGGUUCUUGCGCCUCCUUUCUUCUCUUCAAGAGAUCCCUCCUGACCUGGUCUGUGACAUUAAUCGCGACUGUGCCAGUACCUUCAUCAAGUUCUUACUGGAGAAACAGAAAUGGCCCGAAGUUCUUCUGCUGCUGACCCGCAAAGUAAGUGGGGAGCCACCGUUCGGAGACUCGCUCAUCAAAGACUGCAGUUUCUCAGACCUCGACAUCUGUGCCAUCAUCCCACACCUCAGCAGCUGGGACCACAGGAAGACACAGCUGCUAGGCUGUCUGAUAGACAGAGGAGCUUUGCCCGAGGGUCUCCAGGAGAGCCAGCAGAGGCCGCUUGUCCUGUGCCUGAAACAUGAGGACUUUGAGUUGGCUUUUCUUCUCUUGACCAAAGGUGCUGAUCCCCGUGGUAUUUCUCUCACGGAAGGAGAUACUCCUUUACAUGCAGCACUCCACAUCUUUUUAGAUAUAAAAGCUGACAUUGGUUUUAACUUCCUCAAUCACCUGUUGGAUCUGUUCUGGUCCAAUCCAACUGAAUUUUACUACCUCAACCCCAACAUCCAGGAUGGCAAUGGGAACACGCUGAUGCACAUCCUUUUUCAGAAGGGCAUGCUGAAGCGCAUGAAGAAGCUGAUAGACCUGCUGGUGAAGUUUGACAUCAACUUCAACCUGAAGAACAAGGAGGGCAAAGAUGCACGGCACCGGAUUAAGAAGAAUGAUGCUCUGCUCAUGGCCUGGAACAAAGCUCUGAUGGAGAGCAGGCGGAAGAACCGGCAGGACUCUGCUUCACACCAGGGAAAGCUUGCGAAGUCUGCUGCCCCUGGACACAUGUCUCAGCUCAAGUCCCAGGGUUCAUUCAAGUCACUGCCAUGCGGUGUCACUGUCAUAACCCCAUCAGAAGAAUCUGCGGUCUCUGACAGCUGGGAGACUGUUCCCAAUGCCCAGGUGACAAGACAGGAGCCUGGAGCCAUCAGGCCACGUUCUCUGAGAGACCGUCUUGUGCAGGACAUCAUGAGUUUGAUUCAGCAGGUGGAAUUGGAUACAUGCCUCCCAGAGGACUAUCCUCGGUGCUCUGAGUCUCUGGAAAUUGCUGGCAAAGUAGUAAAGAAAGACGAGUUCCAGCAGACUCCAGGUACAGGGAGGUCUAAGUGUAGUGGGAACAAUCUGGUCCUCCCUGAGGCGGGGGAAGGACCUGUCCAGGCAGGUCUUGGAGCCACACAGCUCGUUCCUGUUGUUAACGGAGGGAGGGAAGGCAGUGACAAUCAGGAGGACUGUAGCAUACAGGAUAUUGAGGCCUGCUUCCAGGACUUUGAUAACAUGACGUGGGAGAUCGAGUGUACUUCAGAAAUGCUGAAGAAGCUGUCAAGUAGGGCAAUGACCAAGGUCAUGAAGAAGAAAAUCAUCCUUGCCAUCCAGCAGCUGGGGAAUGGCGAGUGGACCCAAGGCCUACAGAAGCGGCUUAAGCACCUCAAAGGAAGCAUCCAGCUAUUCGAAGCUAAGCUGGACAAAGGAGCACGGAUGCUGUGGGAGCUCGCCAUCGAUUUCUCUCCUCGAUGCAGCGAGAACCCGGAGAAGAUCAUUGCCACAGAGCGCAACAUGCACUCCACAGAGAAGUCGGGACGGGUCUACACAGAAAUCAUCCGGAUCUGGGACAUUGUCUUAGAUCACUGCAAACUGUCAGACUCCGUCAGGGCCAUCUGCAAUGCCUACAACCGGGGCUUGUCUUGCAUCCUGCGGAAGAAGCUGAAGGGUAUCAACAAAGACCAGGUAUUUGCCAACAUGAAAAUCCAAAAGCGAAUUCCCCGCUGCUACGUCGAAGACACAGAGACAGAGAAGGGCAGAGAGCACAUUGAUCCCGAGUACUUCCCUCCAGCCAGUGCAGUGGAGACAGAGUAUAACCUCAUGAAGUUCCACAGCUUCAGCACCAACAUGGCCUUCAACAUCCUCAAUGACAUGACGGUGACAGUGGAGUACCCCUUCCGGGUGGGCGAGCUCGAGUAUGCCGUGAUCAACCUCAACCCCAAGCCACUGGAGCCCAUCAUCCUCAUUGGGCGGAGUGGCACUGGGAAGACAACUUGCUGCUUGUACAGGCUCUGGAAGAAAUUCCACAUUUACUGGGAAAAAGCCGAGCAGGCAGGAAGCCCGCUACUGGCCAAACAGAUCUGGCUAAAGAGAAGGUUGGAAAUGGAACCCAGAGAGGAAGGUUCAGGUCAGGAGGAAGAAGAGGAUGAGGAUGAGGAAGAGGAAGGUUCAGUUGAAGUGGAAACAGUGGACAGCAUAGAUGAGGAGCAAGAGAGUGAAGCCUGUGUGGGGGUACCCGACGUGGAGCAAGUGGAAGUCAGCCAAGCAGAAGUGUGUGCCCCAGAACAUCCCCACCAACUGGAGCAUUUACAUCAGGUCUUUGUCACCAAGAACCAUGUCCUGCGCCAGGAGGUACAAAGAAAUUUCACUGAGCUUUCCAAGUCUACCAAGGCCACGAGUCACUACAAACCACUGGAGCCCAAUGUACACAAACUCCAGGACCUGAAGGAUGAGAACUUUCCACUGUUUGUCACUUCCAAGCAGCUGCUCCUCCUGCUUGAUGCUUCUUUGCCCAAACCAUUUUUCCUGAGAAAUGAAGAUGGAAGCUUGAAAAGAACCAUUGUAGGGUGGUCCACUCAGGAAGAGAUGACCAUCCCCAAUUGGCAGGAGGAUGAGGAGGAGGCUGAGGUGGAUGGCGACUACGGUGAGGAAGAAAAAGCUACAGAAGUUCGCAUGGGUGAAAAUGACCCCCGGGUGUAUGUGACAUUUGAGGUGUUCACCAAUGAAAUAUGGCCCAAAAUGACCAAAGGGAAAACCUCCUACAACCCCGCACUAAUUUGGAAAGAAAUAAAGUCUUUUCUGAAGGGUUCUUUUGAGGCUCUCAGUUGCCCCCACGGAAGACUUACUGAGGAAGCAUAUAAGAAAUUAGGGAGGAAAAGAUCCCCCAAUUUUAAGGAAGAUCGGAGUGAGAUCUAUAGCCUCUUCUGCCUGUAUCAGCAGAUCAGGUCCCAGAAAGGUUAUUUCGAUGAAGAGGAUGUCCUGUAUAACCUGUCCCGGAGGCUAUCAAAGCUUAGGGUGCUUCCAUGGUCCAUCCACGAGCUCUAUGGUGAUGAGAUUCAGGACUUCACUCAAGCUGAACUGGCGCUGCUGAUGAAAUGCAUCAAUGACCCCAAUGCCAUGUUCCUCACUGGGGACACAGCCCAGAGCAUCAUGAAGGGCGUGGCCUUCCGCUUCAGCGACCUGCGGUCUUUGUUCCACUACGCCAGCAGAAACGCCAUCGACAAACAGAGUGCCAUCCGGAAACCCAAGAAGAUCCACCAGUUGUACCAGAAUUAUAGGUCCCAUUCGGGAAUCCUCAAUCUGGCAUCUGGAGUGGUGGAUUUACUUCAAUUCUAUUUCCCAGAGUCUUUUGAUCGCCUUCCAAGGGAUUCUGGCCUCUUUGGUGGCCCCAAACCAACUGUCCUGGAGUCUUGUAGUGUAAGCGACUUGGCAAUUUUACUAAGAGGGAACAAAAGGAAAACCCAGCCCAUUGAAUUUGGAGCCCACCAGGUAAUCCUUGUAGCCAAUGACAUGGCAAAAGAGAAAAUUCCAGAAGAGCUGGGGUUAGCUCUUGUGCUAACAAUUUAUGAAGCAAAAGGCUUAGAAUUUGAUGACGUCCUCCUUUACAACUUUUUCACUGAUUCUGAGGCUUACAAGGAAUGGAAGAUCAUUUCCUCAUUUACACCUUCAUCAUCUGACUCCAGGGAGGAAAACCGGCCAUUGAUUGAAGUGCCCCUGGAGAAACCAAACUCCUCUCAGGGUCGGUCUCUCAUGCUGAAUCCAGAAAUGUACAAGCUUCUCAAUGGAGAGCUGAAACAGUUGUACACUGCCAUCACACGGGCUCGGGUCAACCUCUGGAUCUUUGAUGAAAACCGAGAGAAGCGGGCUCCUGCUUUCAAAUAUUUCAUUAGAAGAGAUUUUGUCCAAGUUGUGAAGACAGAUGAAAAUAAAGACUUUGAUGAUAGCAUGUUUGUGAAGACUUCCACCCCAGAGGAGUGGAUUACUCAGGGGGACUACUAUGCCAAGCACCAGUGCUGGACGGUUGCAGCCAAGUGUUACCAAAAAGGAGGAGCAGUUGAGAAGGAGAAGUUGGCACUAGCCCACAACGCUGCCCUGAACAUGAAAUCCAAGAAAGUCAGCCCCAAGGAAAAGCAGUUGGAGUAUUUGGAACUGGCUAAGACCUAUCUGGAGUACAGUGAACCAAAACUGUCCCUCAAGUGUCUGAGCUAUGCCAAGGAGUUCCAGCUCUCCGCCCAGCUGUGUGAGAGGCUGGGGAAGGUAAGAGAUGCUGCAUAUUUCUAUAAGCGAAGCCAGUGCUACAAAGAUGCUUUCAGAUGCUUUGAACAGAUUCAGGAAUUUGAUCUAGCACUCAAAAUGUACUGCCAAGAAGAGCUUUUUGAAGAAGCUGCUAUUGCAGUGGAGAAGUAUGAAGAAAUGCUAAAGAUCAAGACUUUCCCCAUUUCUAAACUCUCCUAUUCUGCUAGUCAAUUUUAUUUGGAAGCUGCUGCCAAGUAUCUGAGUGCAAAUAAGAUCAAGGAAAUGAUGGCUGUCCUCUCAAAGCUAGACAUAGAAGACCAGCUGGUGUUCCUGAAGUCUCGGAAACGGCUAGCAGAAGCUGCAGACCUGCUCAACAGGGAAGGUCGGAGAGAGGAGGCUGCUCUGCUCAUGAAGCAAAAUGGCUGCCUCCUGGAGGCUGCCCGGCUCACUGCCGACAAGGACUUCCAAGCCUCAUGUCUCCUGGGGGCUGCCCGCCUCAACGUGGCCAGGGAUUCCAACAUAGAAGAUACCAAGGCCAUUCUGAGAGAAGCCCUUGAGCUCUGCUGUCAAACCAACCAGUUGUCCGGCAUUGCUGAAGCCCAAUUCCUACAGGGGGUAAUCCUGAAAGAUUUUCAGAAGCUCGAGGAUGCCUUCUUCAAGUUUGACACGCUCAACCACUCAGCCGGUAUGGUGGAAGCACUCUACAAAGCAGCCAGCCAGUGUGAGGCAGAGCCUGAGAAGGUCUUGGCUCUGGCUCCUGGGGGCUUGGACGUCCUCCUCAACCUGGUCAGGGCCCUCAAAAAGGUGACUACCAAUGCUGAGAAGGAAAUGGUCAAAUCUUGCUUUGAGUUUUUUGGGAUUUCCCAGGUGGAUGCCAAGUAUUGCCAGAUAGCUCAGAAUGACCCUGGGCCCAUAUUAAGAAUAAUCUUUGACCUAGAUUCAAACUUGAGAGAGAAGAAAACAAAAGACCAUUUCUUGAUAAUGAUGGACCAAGUGAAAUUAGCACUGAACAAGCACCUUUUGAGCAGACUGUGUCAGAUUGCACAGAGCCUGCUUGGAAAGACCUAUCCAGGCAUGUGCAUGAGGUUUAUUGUGGGCUUAAAAUGUGAGGAUGAAAACUGUGAGAAUUUCCAUAGGCCUUUGCGGCGUUGUGAGGCCAAAUGUUUGGUUCAGUCAAAAGCGCACCUGGUGGCAAUCAACGGCUUGCUUUUGGAAGCCAAAAAAGUAUUCCCUAAAAUCUUAGCUAAAGAACUUGAAGAGAUUGAUUGUAUUUUGUCUACAGAUAUGUAUGGCCUUUGCAAAUCCUUCCUCAAUGCCGUCUUCCCUAAGCAUUUCCACCAGAGAGUCUUAUCAGAAAACCCUAUGGCAUGCAAAGAAAUCCUCAAACCAAAUUACAAAUCUUUCCGAUUCCACAGGUUAGCUUUGAAAGAGUACAUCCACUUUCUGUUUCAGAAUGAAAGGGCACGAAGCCAACGGGAAUCUACAGACCUGUGGCUGAGUGCCAUGCAGGCUUUCCUGCUCUCCUCCAACUACCCUGAGGAGUUUGAAAAGUUACUCCGCCGGGAGGAGGACAGCUACAACAUGGAACUCAAGGCUCUAGAGUCUGAAAAAGAGGAAAGGGGCAGGGGGAGAGGCAGCAGAAUGAAAGGCAUAGAAGGGAAGUUUGGCAUGCUGGUGCCCAACAAGGACGAUGACAGUUCAGAGAAGACCCACCUGUGCUUCAUCCGGCUGCUGGAGAAUUGCAUUGAUCAGUUCUAUGUGUAUAGGAACCCUGAAGACUGCAAGAGGCUCUUCUUCCGUUUCAUGAAUGUCCUUGUCAAGAGAUGCAAAGAGCCGCUCAUCCCCAGCAUUGGGAACACAGUGGCCUUGUUGGAGUUCCAGUUUGUCCACUGUGGAGUGGUCCUGGCCCGCCUCUGGAAGAACACCAUCCUGUGCCUCCCCAAGAGCUACAUUGCACUCUUGCACUAUUGGGAGUUCCUGUUCAGCAAGAAGGACAAGAAGCCCGGAGAUGUGUUCUCCAUCAUUCAGGAGUACAAACCCAAGGAUGUGACAAGAGCCAUUCAGGAUUUCCGAUUUCACCUUUCCUACCUUGUCAAGGUGCUAUGUGGCUAUGAGAAUGUGAACUUCAGUGUCCUGCUUGAUGCCUUUGGUGACAUAGACUGUGUGGUCUCUGGUGAGGCAGAGCGGACACUGGUGCUGUGCUUGGUGAUGCUAGUGAAUGCUGAGCAGGUCCUGCAGCCAUACUGCAAGCCUCUUCUGUACCGCCACUUCCAGGAGAUCGAGACCAGUCUGCAACUGAUGAGCGUGGACUAUCCAAAGCAGGUUCCCGAGAGGCUGCUGAAAGUGGUGAGGCAGGUGUUGAUGGCAGUCAAUGUAAAGUCCGUGGCUGAGGCGCUGCAGGACCUGCUUUUUGAACGGGAUGAGGAAUACCUAAUGGACUGCUACUGGCGGUGGGACAGCACGCACACCAAAGGGUCUGUGGUCCAUGGCCUUUAUCAUGAAGAGGUCAAACUAAGCCGCUUGCUCUGUGUGGACUCUGCGGACUAUUUGGCUGAGCCAGAGUGUGAGGUCGAUCACGAUGAGACAGAUGAGCUGGUAUUAGAAGACCGAGACCACCUCCUUGCUGCCAUCCUUUCCCAGAAGGAGCGGAAGGCUGCUAUCCAGCGGAAGUUGAGAAGAGCGUGCUUGGUGGUGUCUCUGUGCAUCACCUGGAGUAGAAGGGUGAACGUCCUGACCAAGCGCUUCAGGGAGGAGCCCAGGGAGCCCACUACUAGCAACUUCAAAAAGGCCGAUGUUGACAGGACCCAGUGUGACCUGUGUGGAGUGAAGUUCAUCCGUGGUCCUGAGAACUAUUUCUACCCCAGUAAAGCGUUUGAGGGAGCAGCUUCAGAGUCUGUGGCCCUGUCUCAGGCUGAGCUGGAAGGAAAGGAGGGCCAGGAGAGGAACAGUGAGUCUUACGAGCAGCACAUCUGCCUAGAAGGCCACCAGAAGCAGCAAGUGGCCUACCAGAAGUACUCCGAGUUUUUCCUUGAAAAGGUGGACCCAGCCAUUGACGAAGGCAGGCUCGUGGUACAAGACAUCGAGCAGAGCACGUGGAUUCGCAGUCACCUGGGCUCGAAAGAGCACAGCCACAUGCUGCAGAGGAAGGUCCAGGAGAACAUCAAGAGGGUUUUGGAUAUGGUGGAGGACCUCUACCGGCGGAAGGCCUGGGCUGGAGCGGAGGAGGUGAUGACGCGACUGGUCAACAUUCUGAUUCCGUCAGUCAGGGAUGCACGGGAGUGGUUGAUGAAAACAGAGCUCCACUUAACGGAGGAAGGUAUUGUUCAGGAAGAUGAUUUUGAAAAUGAAGUAGAAGACUUUGUUGAGCUGCGACCUAGAAGGCGUUCGCGGAAAUGUGGGAAGCGGAGAAAAUGCUAAUGUCCAAAUACCUGCUGCCUCCUAAACUUUCAGAACAUUCCAUCUUGACUUAGAAUUCCGAGUGCUGGGGCAGAAGAGAAAAGAAUGAAAGUGGAAUGCCUGGCAAGGAGACCUAUGCAUGUUCUACUGUUUGUCUACCUGGAGCAGCCUGGCCACUGAUCCCCAAGGACUGGACAAAGCAGCUUCCCAAAGUAAUUCUCAGUGAACGACACACAACAGCCCUGCUCCCGGAACUGAGGAGAAAAACUGGGUCUGCCAAUGCCAUUCGACAGCUGAUCCUCACUCCCACCCAGCACCCAGGAAAAUGUGUUUUCCCACUCAGUGUGGAGGAGGGAAGAGCCAUCAGCAAGACAUAUCCACCACUCCUGCGGCCUCAGUUUCUCUGCUGUGUUCAUGACUUCACAAUCAAGCCUUCCUGCUCCAGUACAUCUUCCAAGGUCCUGCUGGGCUUCUCCAUCCCCAUUCCACUGGCAUUCCAAUCAGCGUGUCCAAAACAGAAUGUUCUGUACUCUUCUUGCUGAUUUCCCUUCAGGACCACCCUCCUGUCUGUCACUGAGCCUCAGAAGAAGCUGGGUGCAUCACUCCACAAGACUGUGACCUCCCCGAGGGCGGGAAUGUGGGCUGUGCUACUGCUGCAUCUCCCAUGCCUAUGUGUUCAUCUCUUAGGAGGCCCCCAAGGACUAAAUGGAGACCAAGGGAAGGAGUCUCUAACCCUGUUUUAUCCCUAUGGCUAAUUUCUGACCAAUCACUGAACCUGAGGGAUUGCUCAAUUGUACCCAUUCUUCCUGCAAACAUUUAUUGGGCACCUACUAUAUGCUCUGACCCCAUUUAUCAACUGAAACUAAGCUGGGUGCUAAGAGUAGAUAUUAGGACUGGCCUCAAAGAGCAGGCUCACACUCACCUUCCCCCACUCUUUGUCUCUGCUCUGACUCAGGUCCUCAUUCCCUCCCAUUUGGACCAUAGCACCCCAUCUUCCAGGGCCGCACAGCCUUCCCCCUCAAUUGUGACUUAAACAUAACUGUUGGCUUCUUAAAGCUUGCAUUAACUACCUCAUUCUGUGACUCAGAGGCAUUUACCUCAGGCCUCAGGGUGCCCCGGUGCUUCUGCCAUUCAACCUCUCCACAGCCCACAUCCCACUGCACCUUCCAUACCCCCAAGGGACUGGUGUUUCAGCCUCCCCCACCUUUCCUAGGUCUUCCUGAAAUGUACACAUUCUGAGGUUUGAAACCAUUUGUACCCCAGGAAAGCAUGUUCUUAAAGUUAAUCCAUUCUUGUGGGUGUGGACCCAUUGUAAGUAGGAUCUUUUCAUGAGACUACUUCAGUUAAGGUGUUACCCACCUCAUUCGGGAUGGGUCUUAAUCCUCUUACAGGAAUUCUUUAUAAGAGAAUGAAAUUCAGACAGAGAGAGAAAGCCACAGAAGCAAGAAGCUGAAAGCAAUGAAACCUGGAAGAGAAGGGACCAAAGAUACCACCAUGUGGGAGAGAAGUCCAGGAUUGCUGGCAGCUAGUCCUUGGGAAGAAAGCAUCACCUUGAUGAUGCCUUAAUUUGGACAUUUUCAUGGCCUCAAAACUGUAAGCUUCCAAGCUAAUAAAUUUUCCUCAUUAAAAGCCAACCCAUUUCAUGGUAUCUGCUUUGAACAGCCUAGGAAACAAAUACAUGUACUUUCCAGCUUCUGCACCUUUGCCCAGUGCUAGUUUCUGUCUGGAAGGUCUUUCCCAUGAGUCUUCACCUGUUGAAAUCUUUCCCUCCUUUAAGACUCUUCUCCAGGCCCCCACCUCAGGUAGACUUCCCUAACCUCCAUGUGGAAAUCAACCUCUUUUUUGAGGGUAAGGGGGACUGAUGCUCUUCUCCCCAGCAUGUGGUCUCUAUUGCAUAUUUUAGAGCAAAAGAUAAACAUGGCUUUUGGGUACAUGCCUGCCUCCUUCUAGAUUGUGCGCUUCAAUAUAGUAACCACUACCCACAUGUAACUAUUUAAAUUAAAAUUAAAAUUAAAUAAAAUUUAAAAUUCAGUUUCUCAGCCACUUUAGCCACAUUUUAAGUGCUCUGUAGCCACAUGGGGCUAGUGGCUACUCUUCUGGACAGAGCAGUAUAGAAUAUCUCCAUCACCACAGAAACUUCUAUCGGACUACACUGCUAUAGAUCAAGAGCUCUUGGCAUUAAGUGUAGAGCCUGGCCCAUGGGAGGUGCUCAAUAAAUGUUGAUUGAAUUGAGUCAAAUGUAAUGUUUUGGAUGAAGUAGGAGAGUUGGAGGACCAUUAAAAAAUCAAUGUUUGGAGACCUUGAAUCAGCUGACUCUGAGGGGCAGAAAGAAGGGGAGAGAAGAAAGGAAGGCCUGUGGACUGAGCACCUACCAUCCCUAGGCCUAGAGUAUAGCUCAAACAUUUGGUGGAACUGAUGGAGUCGGGGUGGGGCACAUUGUGCAGACAAUUGCUAUUCUAGACACAUUUUCCAGUCUGGAUGAGACACAUUUUUGGCUCAUAGCUUAACACAGAAUCAGGGCCAAGAGUGUGCACUUGAGUGGGUGCAUCUGAGAUUGUCAGUGUUUGAGCGCUGUCUUCUUUGUUCUCUCUCCCGCCAUGCUCCCUUGCCCUGCCCAGCUGGACAGGCAUGCUCCCUGAUGAGCCAGGCCACCCUGAGCUGAACUUCUGAAAGGGGCAAGGGAGAGUGCAGAAAAUGGGAUGCCUAUGGUGAGAGGAAAGAGAGAGGCUCUUGGCCCUUUUCCAGCCCAAAACUGGGGCUGUGUGUCAAUCCCUUGCAGCAACAGGGAGCUGGUUUCUCUGGGAAACCCAGUCUGCAGGUCCUCCAGCUGUGAGGGAGGCUCUGAGUUCUGUAAGGCUCAAAUCAAGUGGAUCAUCUCCCCUAUCAAACUCUGUUGUCUUCCCCAUCAAUGUCUCCAGGAAUUAAUAUCACUGACACUUUGACACCCAGGAAUCAAUUUAUUCAUGGUCAAAGAAUUGGCACUUUUGUUUCAUGUCUAGAAAGUUCAUGAGAAAUCUAAGCAUAGAAACCAUAGCCUCUGGGUGGAGUACCCACUACCCAGAAUUUGGUAACAAAGUAUCUCACAGGUAUCAUGGUACUUAAUCUUCCUGACAACCAUGAAAAGUAAGCAGUGUCCUAUUUUGCAGGUGUGGAAACUAAGGUGCGAUGAGGUUAGCAACCUGCCCAUGGCUGCAUAGCAUCUAGGCUUUUCUUUAUUAAGUCUCACUUCUCAGCACACUGCUUUGUACCUUGCUAGCAUGGUAUACACACAAGGAAUAUUAUUUGCUGCCCUUGCUGUGUCCCUGAUAGCUCUCACGUUUUCCCUCCUGCCAGCCAAGACUGAAUCCAGUGCACCCCAUCCUGGACCUGAUACAGUAUCAGGUACCACUGACUCCCCACAAUUCCAGUUUAACCUUCACUUAGCCCACCACACCCCAGCAUCAUCAGCCCUAAGCAGCACCAGCACAGAUGCUUCUAAAGAAAGACAACUACCAGGCAGACCAAGGAAACUCUUUGCUGCCUAACAGCCUGUCCACCCUCCCAGCUUGGUAUCCCCUGAGACAGGGCAUUGCUUGCUUGCUUUCUCUCUCAGGCUAUUUGCAACCAAGCUUAAUGAAGCCAGUAUUAACUUUUCUCACCUCAGAGACACCUCCUUCCUCACUUCUCCUGAGCAGUCCCAUCUACUUAACUUUUCUUCCCCUCAUCUCCUACGGCAACUUAUUUUUUCCAAAAACUGACACAGCAAUAUUUCUGGUCCCAUAUGCUCUACCAGCACUUUGACAUUCCUUAUCAAGAGAUGAAAUUUAUUUUUCCCUCUUCUUGAAUCUGGACAGGACUUUGUUACUACCUUCAGGAAUAGAAUAUGGCAGAAAGAAAACUGCAUUAUUUCCAAGGCUAGUUCAUAAAAGGCAAUAUGGCUUCUGCUUGGAUCUCUCUCUUGGGAAAACAGCCACCAUGCUGUUAGGAAGCCCAAGCAGCCAUAUGGAGAUGUCAUGUGUACAUGUUCCAGCCAGCUACACCUAAGGUAUCAGUUAUCAGCCAGCAUCAUCACUGAAUACAUGGGUGAGCAAGCCUUCAGAUGAGUCUAGCCACUAGCCCUCAAGCUGCCCGGCUGAUGCCAAGUGGGGUAGAGAUGAGCUAUGUUUCAAGCCAUACUCAAAUUGCAGU
Molecule: RNA transcript, 13362 nt
Organism: Choloepus didactylus (southern two-toed sloth)
Lineage: Eukaryota; Metazoa; Chordata; Mammalia; Pilosa; Megalonychidae
Gene: TRANK1
Gene name: tetratricopeptide repeat and ankyrin repeat containing 1
Exons: 27
Source: RefSeq, a predicted model, not a curated record